Long non-coding RNA from Acanthochromis polyacanthus (spiny chromis), 3089 nucleotides. RefSeq lists it as uncharacterized. The transcript is spliced from 7 exons. NCBI's taxonomy places the organism in Eukaryota, Metazoa, Chordata, Actinopteri, Pomacentridae. The record is from RefSeq and is a predicted model, not a curated record.
CGCCACUGACGCACUUACGCCAAUGGGGCGAGUCAACACACCGCGGCUCAGAGCUCAGUGAAGCUGACCCCCCCACAGAAAAAAUCCAAGCAAACAGGCUGAGUGGUUAGUGCUUCGUUUGUGCUGAUUUGUGCCGGUAAAAUUUUCGUUUGUGCUGCUAUCGUUUUUCAGAUAUUACAAGUUUUAUUUUUGGGCGAUGACGUCAUCAUCCCCCCAGCUUGCUCCAAAAUAUACCAGACUUGUCUACUUUUUUAGUGCUUCGUUUGUGCUGAUUUGUGCCGUUAAAAUUUUCGUUUGUGCUGCUAUAGUUUUUCAGAUAUUACAAGUUUUAUUUACAGACGAUCACAUGACCCGAAUUGAUGACGUCUGUGGUCUGCGCCAUAGACAUCAACACCACCGUCCGUGGCUGUCAACAGCGGCAGCGUUCUGCGCUUCCUACAGAAUGUUGUACUACUUAUCUGUUAUUAAAUCAGCGACAAAGUGAAGUUGUCGGAUGUUACCAAUACAAGAAGGAAUGAAACUUCUGCUGGACACUGAGAAUGCUCCAGGAUUGGCCUGAGGCAGGGAGACUGGGGCAGCCGGAGUCCUUCUUCCACAGCAGUGUCAAGCUGAGCCACACCAGAAUUCCUCAGAACAGAAAGGUCAGGAGAAACAAGUGGCACUUCCCUUGUCAUUCCUUUGCUGAGGUAACAGUACUGUGAAGAGCAGUGUUUUGUGAGAUACACACUGGAUACAUUUCUCAUUGUUUUUGCAAUGACAGUAGAGAUGUUGCACUGUGCAUCAACUUGGAGGGCACCGGACCUCAACUGGACUGCUUCAAACAUUGUACUAAGCAGCUCUGCCCUCUGUGAGUAUGUCUGUUUGGUGACCCAUCUGUGACGACAGCUUUCACCAGCUGCAAGACUGGGUUGUCACUGUCUCUCCUAACAGCAUUUUGAAAUGCAGAGCUGUCACAGAAAGCACAACAUAAAGCCUGACAAAACGCAUCAAAUGUGCAGGUGUUCAACACAGAGAUCAUUGAUUUGCCAAGUCUAAUAGGCUGAUGAAGGUUUCCAUUUUUUAAUAAUCCCACCUUCACUCUUUUGGCCCCAAAAGAUGGAUCUACGUGGAGCCACUCAGCGCAAGGAGAGAGGUAGGAAGUCCUCUUCCUUUUUUUGGGUGGAACCACUUGGCCUCUCCAGUUUUCGACCGCUUCAUCAUCUGCUGAAGGAAUGUUUGUGGCAGCAUCACAUUCCACAAAAGGAGCAAAUCCGCAUAUUUCCUUCAAUGAAAGACAAAUGACGAGCAAUGAAGCGAUCAACUCGAACUGGCAAGUUUUCAUGUUUGAAAAGGCCAUGUUUUAUAUUUCUGAACUCUGCUUCAGCAGUGGCUGAGCUUGCUGUGAUGCUGGUGCUUUGGAAGAGAGGGACCAUUAUUCCUGUCCAGAGCGGUCAGUCUGGAUCUCAUCACAUGGAUCCACUGUUUUCAUUUCCUCUCUCUCUUCUCCUGGAGUGAUGAUGGAGUCCUCUGCAAUUUGGGCUUUUAGGUAUUUCUUGCACCUUUCUGAUGCGAGAGGGACUCCAGAACUGUCGUCACCCUCUGCCUCACUGAGGGCAACAACAGUGAUAGCAUGCAAUCCCACUGGCAGAUCAUCUUGAUGCAGUGUGCAACAUCAACCCUGACAAAACAAGGGGGAAGUUUUGCAGACUGGUUCCCACCAUUUGCACCACUGGGACACUGGAGCAGUUGUGUGCUGUCAGAAUGCCUUGAUAAAGGAAGAUAUGGCCAGAUGUACCAUUUGGUCUCACCAGUUUUCUCACUACUGAGCCAGUUGCAUCAAAACACACUGCUGGGGUGGCCAAAUUUGGUAGGUGGCUUGGCUCAGGAUCUCCAACAUCCAUUAGAUCUGCUGCCUUUGCUGACCUCCAUACAGCUGGUUCCAUCCUGCCCUCACACAGCUCUUUCGCAAUCUGCUCACGCAGGUUUCCAGACAUGAACCGCUUGGAACGGCCAGUGUGCAGCGAGAUGUCUGUAUUUUUUAUGUCACACUGAAACAUCAUUGGGCUAUUAAUUGCUGGCUCUCUGUCACAUUUCAUUUCCAAAUGGCCAUUGCACUCCUUACAGUAGCCUCUAAUCUGUAUGUAAGUAUUAGUGACAGUUGGAUAAACCUUGGCUCUUUGGAACACAAAUGUGCAUGAGUUUUUUAUCUUCUUCCACAAUAAAUUAUUUAUGACAUGAGUCCAAGUGCCAGUUUUCAAAACUGUGUAUUCCCUUUUCUGAGAUGGAGAAAACUUGUCUUUGUAUUGCACUUUUUCUGGAAUAAAUUUAAUCCAUUCCUCAAAAGGCACUUCCAGCUGAAAAGCUUGACAAUCUUUUUGUUCAGGAGAAAUGCAACCUGAGUCUGACUCCAUGUCAACAGUACUGUCUGGAUCACUUUCCUGGUCACUAAAUUCCAAAACUGACCAGAUGUUAUGUCUGUUCAGCUUCACAAAAGUGUACAGGGCCUUUGCAGACAUCUUGCCUUCUAACUGCUGACUCAGCUCUGUCCAGACAGUGGCAGCUGGAGUGGCUAUUUUGCCAUUGUUGACUAUGGCCUCUUUUGAAGUGCAGAGAACAGCAAAAAUUGAAUCCCUGUCUACUGAUGGCUUUCGGGGCAUCUAGUUAAAAAAAAAAACGAUGAUUAGCACUGAUCAAAACAUUAAUUCUGGCCUAUAUAAUCUUCCUGGAGACACAAAGCAUAUCAGUCUCCAGCAAUCUACAUGCUUACUUGGGUCUUUUGUGCAUUUACAAAUGAAGUGUUUCCUGUUUAAUUUUGAAAAUGUUAGCGAUACCAUGUUAGCUAAAUCAUGUUAACUUGGAAUUUUACUGCAUUAUUUUUGCUAAAACCUCGGUAUUUUACAAGUGCACUUACCGUGUCUAGAAAUCAGAUUUAUCUGAAGGUUGUAAAAAUACCACUGAAACGGUAAAAUUGUGAAAAGGUCAUCCAAUGUGUGUGUCUUGUGAAAUGGCUGUGAAAGACUGCUAUUUUGUGUCGUUCUUAGUGGGGAGUGCUGAAUGUUGUUUUUUUUUUUAAUGCUUCAUGCUCCUAAAUAAACUUUGAAGCGGUUUCA